GUAAAUCUUCCUCCAUCCCUUUAUUUUGAGCCUUUGUGUAUCCUUGCAUAUGAGAUGGUUCUCCUGAAUACAUCACACCUAUGGGUCUUGACUUUUUAUCCAAUUUGCCAGUUGUGUCAUUUGAUUGGGCAUUUAGCCUGUUUCCAUUUAAGGUU
Long non-coding RNA from Sapajus apella (tufted capuchin), 155 nucleotides. RefSeq lists it as uncharacterized. NCBI's taxonomy places the organism in Eukaryota, Metazoa, Chordata, Mammalia, Primates, Cebidae. The record is from RefSeq and is a predicted model, not a curated record. The transcript is spliced from 3 exons.